Molecule: transfer RNA, 71 nt
Filed under: Loxodonta africana (African savanna elephant)
Lineage: Eukaryota; Metazoa; Chordata; Mammalia; Proboscidea; Elephantidae
Rfam family: tRNA
About the family: Transfer RNA (tRNA) molecules are approximately 80 nucleotides in length. Their secondary structure includes four short double-helical elements and three loops (D, anti-codon, and T loops).
Source: Rfam by way of RNAcentral
GCAGUGCUAUUUCAGUGGUAGAAUUCUUGCCUUCCACGCAGGAGACCUGGGUUCGAUUCCUGGCCAAUGCU